Molecule: transfer RNA, 57 nt
Filed under: Alligator sinensis (Chinese alligator)
Lineage: Eukaryota; Metazoa; Chordata; Crocodylia; Alligatoridae
Rfam family: tRNA
About the family: Transfer RNA (tRNA) molecules are approximately 80 nucleotides in length. Their secondary structure includes four short double-helical elements and three loops (D, anti-codon, and T loops). Further hydrogen bonds mediate the characteristic L-shaped molecular structure. tRNAs have two regions of fundamental functional importance: the anti-codon, which is responsible for specific mRNA codon recognition, and the 3' end, to which the tRNAs corresponding amino acid is attached (by aminoacyl-tRNA synthetases). tRNAs cope with the degeneracy of the genetic code in two manners: having more than one tRNA (with a specific anti-codon) for a particular amino acid; and 'wobble' base-pairing, i.e. permitting non-standard base-pairing at the 3rd anti-codon position.
Source: Rfam by way of RNAcentral
GGCCUAACAGAUAAGGCACUGGCCUCCAAAGCCAGGGAUUGUGGGUAUGAGUCCUAU